Long non-coding RNA from Neopsephotus bourkii (Bourke's parrot), 1870 nucleotides. RefSeq lists it as uncharacterized. The transcript has 3 exons. The record is from RefSeq and is a predicted model, not a curated record. Lineage: Eukaryota; Metazoa; Chordata; Aves; Psittaciformes; Psittacidae.
GAUAGAUGGGUCUUACUCUGAUCAAACAGAGCCAUUCUUCCAGUUUUGUAAAUUUCAGCAAACCUUUAGAGUAUAUCCAUGAGAGCCACUGUUUUCCAGGUAAUAUACAGUCACCUUUCAACAAGUGACUGUUUGUACCUCUAUUAUAGAAACCAUGUCUGAUGAAUGAGAUAAAGAAAUUACUUACUUUGUAGCCUAGCACCUCUGAUUCGUUCUCCAUUGUUUUUACAUGUUCCCAGUUCAAACAGAUUUUGGAAUUUGUCAGUUUCCAGGCAAUGUUUGCCGGAGGUUGACGUGGUGCUUUAAAAAAGAUGAUGAUAAUCAGAAGAUACAACUGAAUAUUAAUUUACAUCAUGUAAUUGAAUGAGCUGCUGACACAGAAGCAGCAAAUGCAUGGCUGAUUCAAAUCUAAGAGUAAAAAAUUAUUUCCAGUCCAUCAUUGCUCCCACAUUAGUCAGAAUAAAGUUCUAUUCAUAGCACAAAACCACUUACUGUGAGAGUUCAUUUUCAAAAUUAGGAAAAUCCUGACAGUGGCUGACAGCUCAAGUUAUAUUUGAUGGAUUUUGUGUACUGUCUUCCUAUCUGUAUUUUAGUGCACUAGAGAAUGUUUUGCUAUAUGGAUUUCAAAAAAAGGGAAAACUAAGAGCAAAAUACAAAAGAUAAGAUUUUCAUCAGCCAUGAGGACAGGUUACAAAGAGCUACACAUUAAAGUCUCCAUGUGAUCCAUCAUGAAACAUUGUAGAUUUUAUAAAUUCUCAGCACAAUAGGCUGAGAGUAGCGUUUCAAAGACUUUUUAUGACUAAGUGCCAGGACUUUGAAAAUUUGCCUACAAGUGACUGAAAUCGAAUCCUGUGUGAACAUGUGAAGCUGAAACUGUGCCUUUGAACUGUAUCUUAGAUUUAGAACAACACAUUAUCUCCUUCUCCAUCAUGCAUCCUCCUAGACCCUGCCUGGGAGGACAGCACUGGGGAUGUUAAAAGAAAUAAGGACUUGAACAGAAUUUAGAAAAAAGAGAGAGACUUGGAGGAACACAUUAUUUGGCUGGGAAGCAGACAUGCUGGCAAUGAAGAUUUCAAGGAAUUCAGGAUUUUUUUAAUGUUCAAAUCUAGCAGGAAAUAAAACCAAGUGCGAAUAUUUAUAGGGAAGAAAUAAAAUUUCAGAGACUGAAUACCAAUUAAGGAAAUAAAUGAAAUCCUUAACUUUAUAGAUAUCUAAAAAGAAACCUUUGGUAAGGCUGCUUAAUAUCCCUGUGAAGACCUGUCUGAUCACACCUAGGACCUGCUGAAUGCUACACAACCACCACUAAUAAAAGUAACAAGCAUUACCAUCUUCUCCUGAGCAAAUGGAGGUAAGAGUCCCUUCGCCUUCAUUGUUGUAGACGCCAACUUUCACUUCAAAAGGAGAGAGAGGUUUAAUGCUUUAAUUCUUUUAAACAUAUUUUCUUGCUUCCGCUGAAGCCACCACUGCUUUUGUCCAGGUUGCUGAGCCAAGAUGACAAAACAUAACGAUGUAGCCAAAAUCUUCCCCAUUGUGUAGAUCUGAAACUGGCUAUAGUGACAAGGCAGUCAGUCAAUGAGCAUUUGCAAGUAUACACUGUUUUAACUGAAUCUUCAUUCCCUGACUAUAUUUUAGCAGUAUUGAUUUAGUUGACUGUGCCUUAGAGAAGAUAAUAAUGUUUGCUCCAUCAGUCAAUGUAAUAUUGAAAUAAAAAUCAAAAUAAUAAAUCUAUUGAGGCAAUCAAUUUAGAAACAAAAAAGCUGAUCAGCUCCAUUAAAGUUAUUCUCUUUCAGGCAUGAAGUUUUCAAAAUUAAAAGCAUUUUACUCAGUACAGGUUGUAGCCGACUUUUUUUCUUUUUUUUCCCCAAGGGGU